Molecule: long non-coding RNA, 536 nt
Organism: Bactrocera dorsalis (oriental fruit fly)
Lineage: Eukaryota; Metazoa; Arthropoda; Insecta; Diptera; Tephritidae
Exons: 2
Source: RefSeq, a predicted model, not a curated record
AGAGAGGAAGGUGAAUGUAAAAAUUAAUCAAAGAUUUAGGAUUUUUAUUAAUAAAAGCACUAAGAAAAGCAAAAAACCAGUGACAAGGGUGGUUACUAAGUGGACCCCUUAUUAUUUUUUCAACAGAUGUAGAGCAAAAGAUGACUUGUCGCGAUUUGUGAACUCAUCUCUUAUGGUUGAGUGUGCGGAACUGGCACUUGUAAAGUAAGAUUCUAAUAUAGUUAAAUUCUACAAUUAUAGAAUAGCAUUUUUGGAAUAACGGGCACAUAUUCGUAAGCAUAUCAGCUAACAGUUGAUUCUAGUUGAUUACGCUGUUAUCUGAUACGAGUAUAUUGCUAUUGAUAUUGCUGCUUGCCUGAACGAAAAUAAAGCUAAAAUGGUGAAAUAAGAGCUAAGGUUGAUAUAUAAUUUUGAAGAUCAGCUGGUGGAUUCUACUUGAAAUAUUUUUCUAACUAAAAAGUAAUGUUCCGUGAUUAAUGUAUAAGCGCUAAAUUUGAUUUCACUAAAUCAUUUAACUGGUAUUUUUUAAAGAAUUU